UCUGAUCUAUAAGAGUCGAUUAGGAAUGUGGACACUCCUGCAGCAAUUUCUCCUCAGCGAGUACCCAUCCUGGGUUGUUCCCCGUCCAGUGCCCACUGCUUCUGGGAUAGGCUCCGGACCCCCUGCGACCCAGAAGGAUAAGCGGUUUGGAAAUUUGGAUGGAUGGAUGGACUUUGGACGGCAAUGGAGUGAAGUUUUACAUCCUGUAAACGAUGUGUUCUGAGAUGUUUGAGAGAACAUCUUGUGGUGUUGUACUAGUCUGUGUGAAAUCGAUGCAGGAGGUACAGCGUGUUAUCAAAGGGAGGUGCGUAAAGUCAAAGUGCGUCAGUCUGCACCGCCGCUCUGUUCCCCUCUCACCACUUUUAUUGCGGUGAUUCCUUUUUUCUUAACUUUACAUCCCCUGACAUCCGCCAAACAGACUACUGACAUUUCAGCCAAGAUUUCAGUAAUGUUUCCAACAGUCUGCAUUUCCUGUCUUAUAAACGUCAGACAGGUACUGGAACAGCUAAAUAUUCAAAACUCAUCCAUCCAUCUUCCAGCAACUAAUCUCAGUCAGUGUCAGAGGGACCCUGGUCCCUUACACACUCACAAACACACUCAUACCCUACAGUCAUUCAUAGCCCCAAGUAGUCCUUGCAUUUAACAUGCAUGUGACAAAUUGGUUAGAGUAAUUAAACUUAAUACUUUUCAUGACGGUACAUACAAUUAGGGGAAAUUAAAUAACGUGGUGUUGCAGGAUUGUUUACCGGCAGACAAUUUUUCCAAUCCCCUUAGGCCUAUUAUAUGACGAUACAAACAAUUAGGAUAAGUUGACUUUAAUGACAACAUGUAGUGAUACACAAAUUUCACAGCAACUAAUAGGAGCAAUGUCAUUUAAGUUAACAUUUGCGCUGUUUGGAGAAAUUGGCAUGCAUGUUGUUACGGUUCUGUACAUUCUGGUUAUAAAUCAAACUUCCUGAAAAUUCCACGCCUUAGCAGUUUCAACGUAGCGUUACAAAUCACAUACACGCACGCACAUAAUCGCACAAUGCAUACACUCAAGCAUGCACGGGCAUAGACUAGGCUAUUUAUCGUGAAUUUCGCCAGUAAAUAUAUCUUUGUGCUUCUUUAGAAACAGUAGUUAGUCCAGUAAUUGAUGUAUAUUUGCUUGUCACGUGCGGACUGAACAGAAGACGCAGGAGCAGGCAUUGGGGCAAACAAAGGGUUUAUUAAAAGGUACUGAAACAAACAAGAAACAGGAUGGAGAGAACAGGGGGGGAGGAUAAGGAACAGCAGACUAGACAAUACGAUUUCAGUGAUGGAACUGGGGAACACAAGACAGGGAAGCACUAAUGAGGGACAAGUGUGGCUGGUUAAAGCCACACCAGGAGGGAGAUCAAGCAGGGUAAGAUAUGACAGUACCCCCACCCCAUACACAAAUGAAGAACAAACUGGGGAGAGGACCAAGGGGCCACACAAUGGGGUGGUCAGAUAAGGACAUGGACUAGACACAAGACAGGACAGGAACAAACAAAACCUCAACACAGGAGUAGUGCACAGCUUGGGAUUAUGGGUACAGAGAUUGAGAGAUACCAGACCGGAGCACAAGAUCCAACACAGAACACCACUAAGAGCACAGAACAAACCAGAAACAGCAAGGAGAACAGACCAAACACCACUGAGAAGAACCUGUGCGGACAGGUGGACAAACCAGGAGUGCAGAGACACAAGCAAGACCUAUGAAGGAUGUAUAGACAGAACAAGAGAAACUAACCGGAGGACACCACAAGAUCAGGUCGUUGAACAUAUAUCCAACCAGAGUAUCUUCCAGGGUGCAGAAACGGCGUGUGAUGGCCGAGUAACUGUGUACAAACUCCCGGGUCUUACUCCAGAAGAGGAGCUGGCGAGCAAGAACAUGUUUCACACAAGCUGCAAGAAGAAGAUGAAGCAGAACCAGGACUAAUGAGUGUCACAUAGCUGAAGCACCGUCCCAGGACGAUCUGUUUGAGGUUGGGCGUCGUCCCCACGUCAGCGCCGAGGUCAUCGAAGAAGAGCAGGAGCACGAGAGCAGCUGGGAGAUGGUGUGUGUGUGUGUGUGGCAGAUGAUCCAAAGAAAGGAUACAUAUUAAAAAGGUUACAAAUGUAACUGAUGCAAGUUUAUUAACCCUCAUUCUAAAAACAAUAAAAUUGAGCAUUAUGUUCCUCCA
Brienomyrus brachyistius is the source of this 2186-nucleotide long non-coding RNA. RefSeq lists it as uncharacterized. The record is from RefSeq and is a predicted model, not a curated record. The transcript has 3 exons. Lineage: Eukaryota; Metazoa; Chordata; Actinopteri; Osteoglossiformes; Mormyridae.